GAGUUUUAUUACAUAGUUAUUACAAAACAGAAAGAAAAGGACUGAAAUAAGUACAUCAAAAAUAAAGUCAGACCCGAGGAGGCUCAAUGCAACCUUCAAUAUUCAAUGCAUGUGUCUCACUAAAUACGGAUUCCAGAUUCCAUGGCCUUCUCUUAGAGUGUUCCAAAGUUCCAAGGGCUUUCAGGAAGCCCAGGCAAUGCUUAUACCCUAAAGAUUGAAUGUGGUAACAGAGUAGUGCAAUGUGUGGAAUUACCAGCCAUUAGGCAUCCAAGUUCAGAGGGAACUCUAGGGUCCCUAAGUAUGGCUUACCAUGGGGAGGGGGGCAGAACUUAAAGAACUAAGAAUAAGUGUAAAAUGAGGGGAUUAGAGGAAACCAAAGGAAAGGGUGGUUAUACCCAGCCAUGGGUAAGACUGGCACACCCCGACACUCAACUUGGUUUUCAACAGAUAAAUAGCAGACUUGAGAAGUCAGACAGGGGUCUUGGUGGUGGAUAGGACACCACCAGACUCUAGUCAGGGCUCAAUAUAUAAAGGGGGUUAAGGGAAUGGGAAUGAUUUGAAUAAAGGUUCAAGAGAACCUGGUCCCAGGUCAGGGAUAGAAUUAGGGUGCUACCCCCAGCCUGGAGCCAAUACUCAUAGAUAAAUGGGGGUUAAAGGGAAUAAGAUCACAGGAAAGCACUCAUAUAAACAUCAAGGGUGGAUAAGAAAAGCAUAACAUCACUUUAAAGAUGCAGAAGCAUGAAGAAAGCACAUAACAGACUAAUGUAUAGUCACAUAAUGCAAGAAAGCUAAACAUGUAGUGAGAGGUUAUGCAAAGGGAGAAGUAAACAGAUAGUUUUGGAGAAUAGUAUUUAAAUUAUUAAGACAUACCAGUUGCGAGUUUCAAAUAGAAGAAUAAAUAAUGCAGGAAAUGAGCCACAUAAUUCACUCAAGCUUCAACAAAUACUUGAGAAAACAAGGAGGAUUCUAUAAUCUAGCCUUGGCUUUAAGCCGCAUAGACACAAACAGUAGUACAUGUAGCAGAGAAAAGAAGAGAGCUUAGAAUGUAUGUGUGUUUUUUGAACUCUAAUUGUUCGUUUGUUUGAAGAGAGAGAGUAGGGCAUUUAUAGUUUGAAGACAGGUAGUAAGUAAGGCAAAAAAUAAUUCAUAUCAAAUCACAAUCAAUCAGGAGAAGGGAAUCCCUUUAAUUAAGGAGUCGAACUAGAGUAAUAAAGAGCAGAGUGUAUUAAAGGAAAGAAGAUCAAGAACACAUGGUGAAAUCAAGGGUAAAUACAUAGGAGAUGCUCUUAAAACUGCACGGUUAGGUAAAUAAGGUAAGGGUAAAAUCAAUCAAC
RNAcentral lists this long non-coding RNA (1334 nucleotides) under Nicotiana benthamiana. Its description in RNAcentral is "long non-coding RNA (NBEN_LNC036070)". The record is from RNAcentral. Lineage: Eukaryota; Viridiplantae; Streptophyta; Magnoliopsida; Solanales; Solanaceae.